Molecule: ribosomal RNA, 301 nt
Filed under: uncultured bacterium
Lineage: Bacteria
Description: partial 16S ribosomal RNA
Rfam family: Bacterial small subunit ribosomal RNA
Source: RNAcentral
CAGCAGCCACGGGAAUACAUAGGGUGCAAGCGUUAAUCGGAAUUACUGGGCGUAAAGCGCGCGUAGGUGGUUUGUUAAGUUGGAUGUGAAAGCCCCGGGCUCAACCUGGGAACUGCAUCCAAAACUGGCAAGCUAGAGUACGGUAGAGGGUGGUGGAAUUUCCUGUGUAGCGGUGAAAUGCGUAGAUAUAGGAAGGAACACCAGUGGCGAAGGCGACCACCUGGACUGAUACUGACACUGAGGUGCGAAAGCGUGGGGAGCAAACAGGAUUAGAUACCCCCGUAGUCCCUGUCUCUUAUAA